GCGAUUGAAUAGGUAAAGUCAAAUCAUAAAGGAUCUUCAUCUUAAUCUCUGAAGUAAGGGUGUCAAACUUUUAAAAGUUUGCACGAUACAAGGAUUGGCGCACUAGCUCUCCAUUCUCUGUAGCUACAUAAUAAUGUCGAGCAAAAGAUAAGCUACUCAAGAAGUUAUUGAAGUUGCUUCCGCAGAAAAACCGGGCUGGAUCGAUGGAGCACGAUUAAGUAUCCUUGAGAGGAAAGUGUGUAAAGGAAUGAUUUUCCUUUGACCUACAUACACAUACGCGCGACUAGGAGGAGGAAUCCUGGACCGUUUCCGGUUGGGUUAACCUCAGCAGUUUUAAGCUCACGAGGGGAAACCUGCACAGUUUUUACGAGCGUAGUUUAUGGAACCACGCCAGCUGGGCUCGCGAUAAACCCAUUGCAGUUACGAAACGUAUACAUGCGCACAUGAAUUCCAGCCUGCCAGAAAAAUGGAGGUAU
This is a long non-coding RNA of Bombus pascuorum, 476 nucleotides long. RefSeq lists it as uncharacterized. NCBI's taxonomy places the organism in Eukaryota, Metazoa, Arthropoda, Insecta, Hymenoptera, Apidae. The record is from RefSeq and is a predicted model, not a curated record. The transcript has 2 exons.